ACUAUACGUUCCGGUGUCCGCCAUCUUGGUCACAUACUUCGUGAGUACCGAUUUUUGUUUAUUUUUACUCUAUUAUCUUUCUCACUCACAUUUGUAAUAUCGAAUGAACUUGAAUGCUCCAAUUUGAACUACAUACAGGAUGCAAGUAAACAUUUUACAUUUUUUUAUUGUUGAAUUGUCAAAUAAUGCAGAAUACUUGUGUACAGAAUAAACAACUAUACAAAGCACAAGAAACCACUGAUUUUGUGUUAUGAUUUCAUGCAGGUCAUCAGAUUUGCAUGCAAAUUUUAAUAGUUUAUUCAUGUAACUUUAAAUGGUAAAUUCAACAUGAAAGCAUUAUCCAGCGGUGAAAAUUUUCCACCAGAUAGUUUUGAUGUUGAUUUAAUUGCUCAUGCAAGAACAGGAUUAGCCCGAGUUCAUCAAUCAAUUGCCAAGCAAUCCAAAAAGAAACAAAAAAUAAAAAGGUGGUAACACUGCCAAAAACUGCUAAAGAUAAGGAAAAAACAAAUUCUAAUCAGAAAAAUGACGGAAAAAAGACAAUAAAGUAUAUCAGUAUUAAAGAACCUCCAAAAAGAACCGCCUUUUAUGAACAUAGUAAACAAGGAAUGAAAUACUGGUAUGAUGACCGACAAUCAAAGAGAUUUCUCAGCAAAAACGUACUCGGAAGAACAGGGACAUUACUUGGACUUGUUGAUUCACCAUACAAAUAGAUACCAGCGAUAAUAUAUGAAUGAAUCGUAUUAUUUCAAGUUUUGAAAUAUUCAACAAUGAACGUUCAGCAUCAAUUUGAUAUGUAAAGCUGUGAUACCACACAAAACUGUACCAAAGACAACGUUUAUUCACUAACCUUUUGACUAAGAUAAAUAAUAAAAUGUUUUAAUAUAUACAUUCGUUGCCUUACUGAAGAUACUGAUUUAUUUCCACCACUUCAAACUAUUCUGUUUGCGGAAUAUGUAAAAACUUUUUGCCGAAAGGCUGUAUAAGUAUAGAAUGCUCCCUGUUUAACCGUCUUUACAUUUUCUUAAUGUUCUAAUUUACAGUAUAUCAAUUGUUUCAAAAAAAUUUUUGUAUAAAUGAAUUUUAUUUCAAACAAAAUAUAUAUUAUCUUUUAACUCAUUUUUAUGUAUUACUAAACGCACAGACAAAUAUCCAAAUUGUGUAACAUCCACGUAAAUAUCGUAUAGACAAAAAAUUAUAUAAUAAAAAAACGCUUGAAUUAAAUUUUAAUAAUACAGCUUUAUUUUGUAAUACCUCUAUAUUUUAUUAAUUGUACUUUGUGUCUGGCUUUGUCUAUGUUUUUAAAAAAUAAACCAAUCUUGAUUUGUAUAACAAAUCUUAAAUAUUAUAAUUUCAUAUGGUUUAUUAUUCUUGCAUUUGUAUAGAUUUUCUUCUGUGUGCUAUCUUAUAUCUCCUCUCAUACUAUUUACAAGGUAAAGUGUGUAGGAAGACGGUUGCUGAAACACAGUCCAAUAUAUAGAAUGAACAAGAAUUCAAAUUUUUGUUAUUCAUGUUAAUUAUUUUCUUAUAAUAAACCAAUAUUCUUGCUGUAUUUUUCUGAUAUUUAGAGCUUUUUGAUGAAAAAAAAAAAAUUAAA
Styela clava is the source of this 1594-nucleotide non-coding RNA. The record is from RefSeq and is a predicted model, not a curated record. Lineage: Eukaryota; Metazoa; Chordata; Ascidiacea; Stolidobranchia; Styelidae.